This 82-nucleotide transfer RNA is filed under the name Periweissella ghanensis. Its description in RNAcentral is "tRNA-Leu". It matches the Rfam family "tRNA". Rfam says of the family: Transfer RNA (tRNA) molecules are approximately 80 nucleotides in length. Their secondary structure includes four short double-helical elements and three loops (D, anti-codon, and T loops). Lineage: Bacteria; Bacillati; Bacillota; Bacilli; Lactobacillales; Lactobacillaceae. The record is from RNAcentral. RNAcentral also lists the same sequence under 3 other names.
GCGGAUGUGGCGGAACUGGCAGACGCGCUGGAUUUAGGUUCCAGUGUCUUAUGGCGUGGGGGUUCGAAUCCCUUCAUCCGCA